Molecule: ribosomal RNA, 169 nt
Filed under: uncultured bacterium
Lineage: Bacteria
Description: partial 16S ribosomal RNA
Rfam family: Bacterial small subunit ribosomal RNA
Source: RNAcentral
CCUACGGGAGGCAGCAGUGGGGAAUUUUGGACAAUGGGCGCAAGCCUGAUCCAGCCAUGCCGCGUGAGUGAAGAAGGCCUUCGGGUUGUAAAGCUCUUUUGCCAGGGACGAUAAUGACGGUACCUGGAGAAUAAGCCCCGGCAAACUUCGUGCCAGCAGCCGCGGUAAU